AGAGUUUGAUCCUGGCUCAGGACGAACGCUGGCGGCGUGCUUAACACAUGCAAGUCGAGCGAUGAAACACCUUCGGGUGUGAAUUAGCGGCGAACGGGUGAGGAACACGUGAAGAAUCUGCCUUCAACUCUGGGAUAACUCCGGGAAACCGGGGCUAAUACCGGAUAUGAGCCUCGAUCGCAUGAUUGGGGCUGGAAAGUUUUUCGGUUGAAGAUGACUUCGCGGCCUAUCAGCUUGUUGGUGAGGUAAUGGCUCACCAAGGCGACGACGGGUAGCCGGCCUGAGAGGGCGACCGGCCACACUGGGACUGAGACACGGCCCAGACUCCUACGGGAGGCAGCAGUGGGGAAUAUUGGGCAAUGGAGGAAACUCUGACCCAGCGACGCCGCGUGAGGGAUGAAGGCCUUCGGGUUGUAAACCUCUUUCAGUAGGGAAGAAGCGAAAGUGACGGUACCUACAGAAGAAGCACCGGCUAACUAUGUGCCAGCAGCCGCGGUAAUACAUAGGGUGCAAGCGUUGUCCGGAAUUAUUGGGCGUAAAGAGCUCGUAGGUGGUUCGAUACGUCGGAUGUGAAAAUCAGGGGCUCAACCCCUGACCUGCAUCCGAUACGGUCGAGCUAGAGUUUGGUAGGGGAGACUGGAAUUCCUGGUGUAGCGGUGGAAUGCGCAGAUAUCAGGAGGAACACCGAUGGCGAAGGCAGGUCUCUGGGCCAAUACUGACACUGAGGAGCGAAAGCGUGGGGAGCGAACAGGAUUAGAUACCCUGGUAGUCCACGCCGUAAACGGUGGGCGCUAGUUGUGCGAACCUUCCACGGUUUGUGCGACGCAGCUAACGCAUAAGCGCCCCGC
Molecule: ribosomal RNA, 848 nt
Filed under: uncultured bacterium
Lineage: Bacteria
Description: bacterial SSU rRNA
Rfam family: Bacterial small subunit ribosomal RNA
Source: RNAcentral